GCGGGAAUUGCCAAGCUUGGUCAAAGGCGCUGGACUCAGAAUCCAGUCUUGUAGAAGUACGGGGGUUCAAAUCCCUCUUCCCGCA
This 85-nucleotide transfer RNA is filed under the name Promethearchaeota archaeon. Its description in RNAcentral is "Candidatus Lokiarchaeota archaeon (microbial mat metagenome) tRNA-Leu". It matches the Rfam family "tRNA". Rfam says of the family: Transfer RNA (tRNA) molecules are approximately 80 nucleotides in length. Their secondary structure includes four short double-helical elements and three loops (D, anti-codon, and T loops). The record is from RNAcentral. Lineage: Archaea; Promethearchaeati; Promethearchaeota.